UACGUAGGGUGCAAGCGUUGUCCGGAAUUAUUGGGCGUAAAGAGCUCGUAGGCGGUGUGUCACGUCGGCCGUGAAAACCUGCAGCUUAACUGUGGGCGUGCGGUCGAUACGGGCAUCACUGGAGUUCGGCAGGGGAGACUGGAAUUCCUGGUGUAGCGGUGAAAUGCGUAGAUAUCGGGAAGAACACCAAAGGCGAAAGCACUCUGCUGGGCCGAAACUGACACUGAUAGACGAAAGCUAGGGGAGCAAACGGG
RNAcentral lists this ribosomal RNA (254 nucleotides) under uncultured bacterium. Its description in RNAcentral is "partial 16S ribosomal RNA". It matches the Rfam family "Bacterial small subunit ribosomal RNA", at positions 524 to 776 of the family's 1533-position model. The record is from RNAcentral.